This 446-nucleotide ribosomal RNA is filed under the name uncultured Alphaproteobacteria bacterium. Its description in RNAcentral is "bacterial SSU rRNA". It matches the Rfam family "Bacterial small subunit ribosomal RNA", at positions 82 to 563 of the family's 1533-position model. Lineage: Bacteria; Pseudomonadati; Pseudomonadota; Alphaproteobacteria. The record is from RNAcentral.
GGUUCCGGUGAAAGUGGCGCACGGGUGAGUAACGCGUGGGAACCUGCCCAAAGGUAAGGAAUAACCGCGGGAAACUGCGGCUAAUACCUUAUGCUCCCUUCGGGGGAAAGAUUUAUCGCCUUUGGAUGGGCCCGCGUCGGAUUAGCUAGUUGGUGAGGUAACGGCUCACCAAGGCGACGAUCCGUAGCUGGUCUGAGAGGAUGAUCAGCCACACUGGGACUGAGACACGGCCCAGACUCCUACGGGAGGCAGCAGUGGGGAAUAUUGGACAAUGGGCGCAAGCCUGAUCCAGCAAUGCCGCGUGAGUGAUGAAGGCCUUAGGGUUGUAAAGCUCUUUCGGCGGGGAAGAUGAUGACGGUACCCGCAGAAGAAGCCCCGGCUAACUUCGUGCCAGCAGCCGCGGUAAUACGAAGGGGGCUAGCGUUGUUCGGAAUUACUGGGCGUAA